AUUGAACGCUGGCGGCAUGCCUUACACAUGCAAGUCGAACGGCAGCACGGGAGCAAUCCUGGUGGCGAGUGGCGAACGGGUGAGUAAUAUAUCGGAACGUGCCCAGUCGUGGGGGAUAACGUAGCGAAAGCUACGCUAAUACCGCAUACGAUCUAUGGAUGAAAGCGGGGGAUCGCAAGACCUCGCGCGAUUGGAGCGGCCGAUAUCAGAUUAGGUAGUUGGUGAGGUAAAGGCUCGCCAAGCCGACGAUCUGUAGCUGGUCUGAGAGGACGACCAGCCACACUGGGACUGAGACACGGCCCAGACUCCUACGGGAGGCAGCAGUGGGGAAUUUUGGACAAUGGGNGCAAGCCUGAUCCAGCAAUNCCGCGUGCAGGAUGAAGGCCUGGUUGUAAGUAGUACUUUGUACGGUACGAAACCGGUAGGA
This 427-nucleotide ribosomal RNA is filed under the name uncultured bacterium. Its description in RNAcentral is "bacterial SSU rRNA". It matches the Rfam family "Bacterial small subunit ribosomal RNA", at positions 30 to 459 of the family's 1533-position model. The record is from RNAcentral.